UACGUAGGGGCCGAGCGUUGUCCGGAGUUAUUGGGCGUAAAGCGCGCGCAGGCGGCUUGACGCGCCCGACGUGAAAGCCCCCGGCUUAACCGGGGAGGGUCGUCGGGUACGGUCAGGCUUGAGGGCGGGAGAGGGUGGUGGAAUUCCCGGUGUAGUGGUGAAAUACGUAGAGAUUGGGAAGAACACCAGUGGCGAAGGCGGCUAUCUGGACGGUUUCUGACACUAAGACUCGAAAGCGUGGGGAGCAAACAGG
This 253-nucleotide ribosomal RNA is filed under the name uncultured bacterium. RNAcentral describes it as "partial 16S ribosomal RNA". It matches the Rfam family "Bacterial small subunit ribosomal RNA", at positions 524 to 776 of the family's 1533-position model. The record is from RNAcentral.